GUGGGUGGGUGGGAGGGAGGGGUGCGCUGGUACGGCCCCGAGCGGCGUCGCCUGCGCAGCGGCGGCCGGCGCCGCGGCCGCGGCGCCGCCGAGAGGAGCGGCGACGGCUCCGCCCGCGGCGGCAGCGGCAGGGGGAGCAGGNNNNNNGCGCGCCAGCCGUUCGGCCGCGCCUUCAGCGAGCCCGUCCCGGUCGUGGGCCUCCGCUGCCUGCUCCGCCGCGACCUGUUGGGCCUAGACCCCGGGAAGGACGAGUUCGUCCGCGCCCUGCGGUACCACAGGCCGCUCCCGCCGCCGCGCCGCGCGCGCGAGCUCAAGCGGCUCGCGCGCCGGGCGCGCGAGCUCGCGGCGCCGCUCCCGCGGCUCGAGCUCGAGCGGUACUCGGAGGUGCAGCGGCGGCGCUAGGUGACGCCGGAGCCGGCCGUGCGGCUGCGGCAGGGGCACGAGCUCGCGCGGCAGCGGCAGCAGUGGGGCGGCCGGGGGCGCCGGCUCCCGCUCCUCCACGGCGUCGGCCUCCUCCUCGUCCACCACCUACUCGCGUUCCCCCUCCUCACCCGCGAGCGGCGGAAGAGGCCGACCUACGUCGAGCCGCUGUGGGUGCGGUACGAGCCGGCGUACCUGCUCAGGUAGCGGACGAUGCCGUUCCCGAAGCUCUAGGUCUACCGGCGCGAGCCGCUGGCGCUGGGGGCGCAGCGGCUCUGGACGUCCAUAGACCGCCUUCGCGUACACGUUCGAGACGUCAAGCUACUCCGUCUCUUCGACACGGCGUUUCGGGAACUCUAGGUGGCCCUCGUGUCGCGGGGGCGUAGGGAGCUCCUUCGGAGGCUAGCGGCAGACUACCGGGAAUAGGACCUACGGUUCCCACUGAUACUGCCGCGGGACCUCGUGGAACACGACCGGAGGUACUGGUACCAACGGUUACCUGCGCUACAGCUCCAACGGUGCUAGCUACAGCGCUAUCCGUUGUGGAUGGACCGGGAACGAGCAAAGCUGCUCAGACAGAAGAGGAUGGUCUUCCGGAACUGACAGGAGUUCAGACGGGCACCACUGCUGGUGGGAAGUCACCGUAGACAGAAGCAGGCGGAACGACUAGAGAUAGUGGCGUGUCCCUUCGAGGCACUCAGGUUUAGGAUGACGCUCUUACGAGAGGCACAGAUACGCUUCGGGCGCGGACCACGACGGGGACUGCUCCAACGACCUCCGGAUUACCUCUAACGACGGUAGAUACUCCGCGAACCUCUAGAACUACUCCGGAAUUUCGAAGAAGUCUCCCGUGACUUCAACGAACUCCUGAGUGGUCCCGUCACCUCGUGACAACGACCCUAGCUUCGUGUUUACCCACACAACAUGAUGUACUAUCCCUCCAUACGACUAAGUUCCUUGAGCAAGCUCUCGCGCCAAAGGUUUAACUCCCGGUCGCCCCUUUCCUUCAGUCGGAAAAAGCCACAAGACGACUUGGUCUACCCCGAUCGAACGCAUGUCGACAAGUUCUAACUACUCCGACGUGUCGACAAACUUCUUCGUGCCCGUCAAGAUCUCGUCCUCACACCACGGAGAGUAGGACUAUGAGAACCGCACAUGUCGUUGGAACGACGCUAGAUACUACGGUACCCUUCCCACCUUCUGCGCUAGCUCUAGGACCUCGUGCACGACUUCCACGCCCUCCUCUUCGACCCGUGCCGCUUGGGCCUGCACCUCCUGCUCUUCUUCGCCGACCGCCUCGACGACUUCCUCCGACCCGCCAGGGCCUUGGCCUUCGUCUUCAGCGAUCUCUUGGACAAACCCAGGCCACCACGACGCGCCCCGCGGUUCUUCCUGCCACGGCCCCCGUCCGCCACCUGGUUGAAGCCCAAGUCCUCGACUCGACUCGACUCUUCUUUAGUCACGACACCCGGAAACAUUGUAUUCUCCUCUCCCUUUCUCUCUUUUCCUUCCCUCCUCUCUCUUCGUACACAUUUCUUUCUUUUCCACAACGACCAUCUCAUCCUUCCUUCUACUCUACUAACACUAACGUCAAACAAAACUCAAAGAAGAUGUACAAGACGUACAUGAGAACUAACGACAACACAUGGGUGAACAAAUGGACUUCUUCACAAUACUACCCUUAAGAAAACAAAAUGUCAAUCAAUUGACCCGACAACAUAGACCUACUAAAUUCGUUAUAUAUAUGUGACAACCAACCAACACGAC
This 2187-nucleotide ribosomal RNA is filed under the name Triticum aestivum (bread wheat). RNAcentral's name for it is "partial small subunit ribosomal RNA". The record is from RNAcentral. Lineage: Eukaryota; Viridiplantae; Streptophyta; Magnoliopsida; Poales; Poaceae.